Molecule: long non-coding RNA, 2992 nt
Organism: Pantherophis guttatus
Lineage: Eukaryota; Metazoa; Chordata; Lepidosauria; Squamata; Colubridae
Source: RefSeq, a predicted model, not a curated record
UGGCUGCAGUGGCUGCAGGAGGAGUAGCAGCAGCAGCUUCGUCUCGCCGCGGCCUCAGAAACCUUCGGCCGGAGUGCUUGAGCGGCACAGAAAUGCCCUCCCUUCUCCUGACCCGAGUACAAUCUAGAAGCUCUACAAUGAAGCAAUACAGAGGUGAUCACCUGGAUAGCUGAAUUGAACAUCCAGUGCCAUACCCCCAUAGAGGUUUUACUUAUAAUUAUGUGGACUGUGUAUAUAUAUUUACUUCUGUCAUGUUCUCAUCAUAUGCUAAAUAAUAAUAAUACACUGGCUAGGCCAUGGUUAUUUGUAGUAAGUGCUCUGUUGUUUCCUUCUCUUUCAAAACAUUGGAUUCUUAACUAAAUAUCCACCCAAAUAAUCCCAAAUCUUUAAAACUUCUCCAGGUCCUAUUUUUUUUUGUAGUGGUAGUAAUGAUAAUUAUACGUAGUAUGUGCUUAUAACAAGUGCAGUAAAGGUAGAUUAAAAUUAUGUACAACAGUAAACAGUAAUUCAUUAUAAUAUAAAUAUUUCUGAAUGGUAGGAAAUCUAUACUAUAAAUCAGCAGUCCUCAAUCUUUCUGACACAAGGGACUGGUUUGGUGGAAGAUAAUUUUUCCAUUGGGGGGGAGGGGGGGAGAGGAUGGUUUCACACGCAGCCUAGAUUCCACAUUGCCACAGCCCAGUUCCUUACAGACCACGGACCAGUACCAUUCUGCAGCCCAGGGGUUGGGGAGGGGCUGCUAUAAAUGAGUGAAUAAUGAAAAAGGCUUUUUUAGCUUCACAGAAUUCCUGCAAAAAUGUGUGUGGGGGGGGAGCUUUUAAAACUUCAAGGGAUGAGCCCUUAUUCAAAGGAGAUGAUUCCAGGAAUAGAAGCUAAAUGGGGAAAGGCUCUAAAAUAUAAAGUAAUCAGUUUAAGAUGAAGCAAAACUAAUCAACUUUGAUUGCAUGAUUGAGCCAAGUACACGGGUUCAUGAACUGUAAUCAAGCUAUUAAAAUAACUUGCAUUCAGUCAACACAUAUUUGUAGGAUUACAACCUGCACAUAUGUUAAAUAUGUUUCAUUUUUUGCAUCAACAUUGUAUACAUUCAGAUCCUUCCAUUAUUUAACAUCCUAACUUGAAAACAAAAAGGCAGUGGUUAAAUUUGACUCAAAAGGACAGGCUGCCAGGAAACAAAUUCCUAAUCCACAAACAAGUUUAUUCUUCAUUUUGCAUUCUGAUUUUAUGAUUAAUAUUUAUAGUAAUAAUAUUAAACACCUUACAAAUUAUGCAAGGCUAAUGUUAGAUCAGGGGUUGGGAACUAUGGCCCUUUUAUGACAUAUGGACUUCAAGAAUUCAGGAAUUCUGGGAGUUGAAAUCUACAAGUCAUAAAGGGGUCAUAAUUCCCACCUCUGUGUUUUGUUUUUUUUUAUUUUGAUUUAUAUGCCGCCCUUCUCCGGAGACUCAGGGCGGCUUACAAUGCUUUAAGCAAUAGCCUUCAUACUCUUGUAUAUUUUAUACAAAGUCAGCUUAUUACCCCCACAACCGGGUCCUCAUUUUACCUACCUUAGAAAGGAUGGAAGGCUGAGUCAACUUUGAGCCUGGUGAGAAUUGAACUCGCAGUAAUUGCAGGCAGCUGGAAGCUAAAUAUUACCUUUAACAGUAGCAUUAGUCUGCUGCGCCACUCAUGUGUUAAAUGAUUAACAUUUUUUGUUUGCUUCUUGUAAUUACAAUAACCAGUUAUAGCCAGAGUCCUUGUUUAAAUCAUAUGAGGCAUUUAAUUUUUAUUAAGAAUAAAUUUAUGGAUAAGAAAAUGGCAAAAUGUAACUUCUUAUCAUUGCUUGUCUUUGCCACCAUCAAUAACUGUGUUUAAAAAAAAAACUAUAAAAUACAGUUUUUUUGGGGGGGGAAUACAUUAUUUAUUCCAUCUCCUUGGUGAACUGAUUCGAUUCAGCAUUUGAAAGGGGGCUGAUCCAAAAAUCUGAGGGAAACCUAUAUUAAUCACUAAUGUAGAUUUGAACAAUAAGAUUUGCUUAAAAGCAUUUUUGUUUGUGUAUUUGCCCAUAUUUAUUGUCACAGAAUUGUACUAUAUGAUACAAGAAUUCAUUUAAGUUCAUAUAACUCCUUAUAUACUAUUAACUGUCAAAAUCAGUUCACUCAUAAUUGUAUAUAAGGACCUCUUCAGUUUUAAAAAGAAAGUUGAUAAUUACCAAGGUUAUGGUCUAGCUUGGGAAAUUGUAAAACAUUCCAGCAGAAAGUAAUGGCAAACUAAUGAUAUACUGUUGCCAAGAACUGCAUGGAUGUAUGGUAUGUAUCCACUGAGUCAUUAAGUUCAACUUGAAAGAGGCAUAAGGAAGUUAUCAAAACCUUUGUCAUAAGCACAGAACCAAGUUUCUUAGCGCACUGUCUCAAAACUGCUGAUCUUCAGGAUUUUCUAUAAAUAGACAACUCAAGCAACACAUUUGCUAUGAAUUAUUUUGGUACACUCAUACCGUAAAGGCUUCAAGUCUUUUGAAAAGUCACCCUCAUUUCAGUAGAAGUUUCAACUAGAGCACUGUUUUCUACUUGAAUUAUUAGAAAACAAAUGAGUUAUAUGGAAUCUGCUAAUGGAUUGUAUCUAUGUAAAAAAGAAUCUAAGUAUGUACUUUUCUAGAUAUGUUAUUUUAGUAUACUGAACUGGUCAUAUAUCCAUUACCACAAGCCAAAUCCACAUUGUAUCAUAUCUACUUGUAAAAUUUAUUUUUGUCUUGAUGUAUUUCCGUAUGGUCACAGUUUGACUUGCAGUAGGGUAGUAAAAUGUAAUAUUGUAGCUUACAGUAAAGCAGAGUAUUGCACUAUUUUAUAGCAAAAAAUAAAUGUAAUAGCUGCAGAAUAAAAUAGCUGUAAAAAAGAUGUUUGAUAACAUUAUACAACAUAUCUCAAAGGGCUUACUGAAAAAUUGUUUACAUCAACCUUUCAAAUAUGGACAGAAAUAAUCCAUCCAUGUUAUAUGGAUAAAUAAAUACAUUUAUUUAUUUCA